AAAAAAAGUGUUCUUCUUCAAAGUGAUUUUAUAGAAUCUAACAUGCUAGGCACAUUAGCGCAAACUAAAAAAAAUUUAAACAAAAAAGUCGAUAGCUUUCGGUUAGCGGAAAAGCUCGUCGUUCGGACCAAUACAGCAGAAAAUUUGAAAUCAACUAAAUUUCAGAGGAAUAUGUUACUUAAACCGAACAACAAUUCAAAACAAGAAGUAACAACCGGGUUGCAGAACCCAGCAAGUGAUAAGACAAAUCAAAUGAAAAAUCAUAUUAAAAUGGGUUUUCGUCGGGAUCCACCUAUAAUCAAAAAUUCCAAUCUGUCAAAAGUUGGCCUGAGCAGUAAAGCUAAGCAAGUAUUGAAUCCCUACACGAACAAAAGCAAAGCCUCUCUUUACAAAGUUCAACCGCGUAAAGUAUCACCAAGGCCUUCACUCAGCUUUAACUCAUUAAAAUAUCUUUUUCCGGACCAACGAAAAAAGAAAUCCUAUACAAAUGUCUCGGCUGCUUUAAAGCCCCAAUACGCACAUAAACAAAGUAGUGACGGACCCCAAAAAGAAAACGACAAUAUACCAGAUUUAAAGGAAAAUCAAACAAAUCCAAUGCCAUCAAUUGACGCAACCAAGCAGUACGACGAGAAAAAUCAUAAGGCACAAGUUAUUAGUGUAGGAGAAGGGGAAAUCGAAACCCCUCGGGUAUCCGUUAAAGCGGACCAGGAACGAACUAAUAUAACUUUAACACGGGAUUUGGAAAGAUUUAAAACAAGCUGUUUGUUUUGUAUUCCGCCUGCGAUGAGUGGAGAUGAAAUGAAAAAGAAUUCUGCACUACUUGAAAAGACGAAUGCUUGCAAAGAAAAUACUUUAAAGGAUAUUAAUGUUCAAAUUAUUGAUUUUACACAUAUUUUUAAACGACCGUCAAAGAUUGAAAUAUUGUUUGGCGAUUCAGGCCCUGGGACAUUUUUUUUUCAUCGUUAAAAAAGAAGGUUUAGAAAUUGUGUUUUUGUUCAAUAGUGGUCACGCUUCACGUUUUGUAAAUAUUGUAAAACAACAUGGUUCAUUGAAAAUAGACAAUGACAUUACCUUUAGCGAGGGUGAUCCCUUGGCACCAUUUACGGAAGACUUGUUAAUGAUUUCUUACAUAAAUUUUUUUUAUUAAAAAAACAGGUAAAUCGUGAUAGGAAAAUAAGCUAGGAUUGUAUAUAUUGUAAGGCUGACAAAAUAUUUUGUUCGUCAUUCACACGAAUGAAAAACAUUGCUUUAAAAAAACCUUAUUACCAUGUACACCAUUUGCCUAUUCUUGUUUCUAAAAACCUUGUAGUCAAAUUUUUGUUAACAGCUGUUUCUAGUUUCUUCUACAAACUAUAAAACACUAAAGAAUACGGAAAGAUUAAAAAACUUACAAACUAAAGGAAUUGAAAUGGACUUGUACUACACACUAUUGAAAAUAAUGUUAGUACUAUUUCAAAACGCUUUAGAGGUUUACUUGGUUGUUGCAC
Molecule: RNA transcript, 1487 nt
Organism: Hylaeus volcanicus
Lineage: Eukaryota; Metazoa; Arthropoda; Insecta; Hymenoptera; Colletidae
Exons: 11
Source: RefSeq, a predicted model, not a curated record